RNAcentral lists this ribosomal RNA (385 nucleotides) under uncultured bacterium. Its description in RNAcentral is "bacterial SSU rRNA". It matches the Rfam family "Bacterial small subunit ribosomal RNA", at positions 30 to 417 of the family's 1533-position model. The record is from RNAcentral.
AUUGAACGCUGGCGGCAUGCCUUACACAUGCAAGUCGAACGGCAGCACGGGAGCAAUCCUGGUGGCGAGUGGCGAACGGGUGAGUAAUAUAUCGGAACGUGCCCAGUCGUGGGGAUAACGUAGCGAAAGCUACGCUAAUACCGCAUACGAUCUAUGGAUGAAAGCGGGGGAUCGCAAGACCUCGCGCGAUUGGAGCGGCCGAUAUCAGAUUAGGUAGUGGUGAGGUAAAGGCUCACCAAGCCGACGAUCUGUAGCUGGUCUGAGAGGACGACCAGCCACACUGGGACUGAGACACGGCCCAGACUCCUACGGGAGGCAGCAGUGGGGAAUUUUGGACAAUGGGCGCAAGCCUGAUCCAGCAAUGCCGCGUGCAGGAUGAAGGCCU